Molecule: ribosomal RNA, 571 nt
Filed under: uncultured archaeon
Lineage: Archaea
Description: bacterial SSU rRNA
Rfam family: Archaeal small subunit ribosomal RNA
Source: RNAcentral
UCCGGGGUGCAGCAGGCGCGAAACCUUUACACUGCGGGAAACCGCGAUAAGGGGACCCCGUGUGCCAGCACCUAGUGCUGGCUGUCCCGCUGUCUAAACAACAGUGGUUAGCAAGGGCCGGGCAAGACCGGUGCCAGCCGCCGCGGUAACACCGGCGGCCCGAGUGGUAGCCGCUAUUAUUGGGUUUAAAGGGUCCGUAGCCGGCCUAUUAAGUCUCUUGGGAAAUCUGGCGGCUUAAUCGUCAGGCGUCCAAGAGAUACUGGUAGGCUUGGGACCGGGAGAGGUGGGAGGUACUCCAGGGGUAGGGGUGAAAUCUCGUAAUCCUUGGGGGACCACCGAUGGCGAAGGCAUCCCACCAGAACGGGUCCGACGGUGAGGGACGAAAGCUGGGGGCACGAACCGGAUUAGAUACCCGGGUAGUCCCAGCUGUAAACGAUGCUCGCUAGGUGUCAGGUGCGGUGCGACCGCAUCUGGUGCCGCAGUGAAAACUUGAAGCGAGUCACCUGGGAAGUACGGUCGCAAGGCUGAAACUUAGAGGAAUUGGCGGGGGGAGCACAAUCACUAGUGAAUU